RNAcentral lists this long non-coding RNA (478 nucleotides) under Monodelphis domestica (gray short-tailed opossum). Its description in RNAcentral is "lncRNA (ENSMODG00000044437.1)". The record is from RNAcentral. Lineage: Eukaryota; Metazoa; Chordata; Mammalia; Didelphimorphia; Didelphidae.
AUGGAACAUGCUGGCCUCUCCUCCCAUAUAAAUGCCUGCGCCUGUUUUCAUGAGCAUCUUCCUCUCCCUCUGUCUCUCUACCUCUGUCUGCCCCAUCUCUGUCUCUCAGUCUCUAUCUGUCUCUCUAUCUCUGUCUACCUUAUCUCUGUCCUUCUGUCUCUCUGUCUCUCUACCUCUGUCUGCCCCAUCUCUGUCUCUCUGUCUCUACACACCUCUGUCUGCCCCAUCUCUAUCUCUGUUUCUCCAUCUCCGUCUGCCCCAUCUCUGUCUCUCUCUGUUUCUCCAUCUCCGUCUGCCCCAUCUCUGUCUCUCUGUCUCUCUAUCUCUGACUACCCUAUCUCUGUCCUUCUGUCUCUCUCUCUACCUCUGUCUGCCCCAUCUCUGUCUCUCUGUCUCUCCACCUCUGUCUGCCCCAUCUCUGUCCCUCUGUCUCUCUCUAUCUCUCUCCCUCCUGUCUGCCCCAUCUCUGUCCCUCUGU